RNAcentral lists this unclassified non-coding RNA (1543 nucleotides) under Diabrotica virgifera virgifera (western corn rootworm). RNAcentral describes it as "zinc finger protein 664-like". Lineage: Eukaryota; Metazoa; Arthropoda; Insecta; Coleoptera; Chrysomelidae. The record is from RNAcentral.
UUAAGAGGUCAGCAUGAAUGCAUGAAUGUGUUUAAAAAAAUAUCUUUUUCUUUUGAGUCCAAUUUAAAUUUAAAAAGCUUUUAGGGAUUUUAAAAACUAAAGUACAUACAAAUAAUAAUUUAAUUUUUGUUGUUGUUUAUAACCUGACUUGUUAUAAAUAACCGGACUUGUUAUAACUCAAAGGUUAACUACACUCCGAGUUCCUAGAGUCUAGAGCCUUCCUUUUUUCCUUUGGUUAGUGGCAUAGCGUGGAUGGAGUACUGAAUAUAAAUACGGACAAUGGACGGUAAAUUUGAAAUUAAAGAUUUUGGGGAUUAUGAACACAGAUAUGUGGACACUCAGCUCUCCCCAUCCAUAGAUCUUGAAGACUAUAAAAACGAACCCCAAGCAGCAAAAUACUCAGUAAUGGACGGUAAACUUGAAACUAAAGAAGAAUUUGAGGAACAGAAACACAGAUGUAUGGAGAAUCAACUAUCCACCUCAAUAGAACUUGAAGAUUGUAAAAACGAAGCUGAAGAAACAAAUAACUCAGUUAUGGAAGGUAAACUUGAAAUUAAAGAAGAAUUUGAGGAACAUGAACACAUAUGUAUGGAGAGUCAGCUAUGCAGCACAGGAGAUCUUGAUAACUGUAAAAAUGAACCGGAAGAAACAAAUUACUCAGUUGUGGAAGGUAAACUUGAAAUUAAAGAAGAAUUUGAGGAACAUGAACACAUAUGUAUGGAGAGUCAGCUAUCCAGCUCAGUAGAUCUUGAUGACUGUAAAAAUGAACCGGACGAAACAAAUUACUCAGGAUUUUCCCAAAACGAAGAUACAUUGGAAAUAAUGAAAUCAUUAUCUGGGCAUUUAUGUAGUAAAGAACAACUUAUGAGUCGACCUACUGAAAAAAAAACAAUGAAGUGUGAAAUGUGUGUUAAGCGUUUUUCUUGCAAAGAUCAUUUGAACAAAUGUAUAAGAACGAAUACUGGUCAAACUUUAAAAUGCAAAGUUUGUUUUAAACAGUUUUCACACAUAAGUACUUUGAAAACUCAUUCAAGAACGCCACAUUCAGAACGUAGGACUAUGCCACCACCAUCAAAACUUACGCUCAGUAUGAGGUUACAACUGACAUACUGUUCGAAAAAUCUUCUGUAGACGAAGUUUUGUAAAUCUUGCUUCCAUAUGAUCAAUGCUAUGCCAGAUGUAACCUCAUACAGAAUGUUAAUUUUGGUGGUGGCCUCAUAGUGCUAUGGAGUGGUAUUUUUUUGGAAAAGACAUACCGAACUUGUGGAGGUGAUCGGGUGAAUGACAGCUGAUAUGUACAUUAAAAACAUUUUAGAAGAUCAUGUUUUGCCAUUUGCCAGCUACAUUGGAUAACAAAUUCGUGUUAAUGCACCAUGAGGCAGGUCUUCAUCUCGGUAGAAUAGAUUUUCCCAAAACGAAGAUACAUUGGAAAUAAUGAAGUCAUUAUCUGGGCAUUUAUGUAGUAAAGAACAACUUAUGAGUCGACCUACUGAAGAAAAAACAAUGAAGUGUGAAAUGUGUGUUAAGCGUUUUUCUUGCAAAG